UGCUUAUAUCGUUCACAGAAC
Non-coding RNA from Caenorhabditis elegans, 21 nucleotides. Lineage: Eukaryota; Metazoa; Nematoda; Chromadorea; Rhabditida; Rhabditidae. The record is from Ensembl.